AGGUUGCUGUGGCUCUGGCAUAGGCUGGAAGCUACAGUUCCCAUUAGACCCCUAGCCUGGGAACUCCAUAUGCUGCCAGUAUGGCCCUAAAAGGAAAAAAAGACCAAAAAAUAAAAAUAAAAACAUAUAUAUAUAGUUUUAUUCACUACAAUAUGCACUAUAGAAUGAUUAUAUUCCCUAUAAAAUGAUAAUAAUAAAUAUCUUUUUAAAAAGUUUAAUCUCAUGAAAGUUUACAAUGCUCCAUAUCAAAAAUAUAAUACUAGUUAAAUUGUAAUUUCCAAAGCCUUUGCUAACAUUAAGAUCAUAGGGAAAUGAUUAUUGAAUGUCUGAAUAAUUCUUCAAUAAAAUUUUUAAAAGAUAUAAAACACUGAUUAGUAAACAUAACUUAACCCAUAUCUCUUAAAAUGGCUAGGUUAACAAAAUAUAAAAAUGUCUUUGGGUAAUUACAUAUGUAUUUAUUUUAUAUAUACAUAUUUUUAUAUAUAAUGAUCAAAAGGAUAUGAAAUGAGUGUUAAGUAAUUGUUAUGAGGGACUUUCUACAGACUUAGUUUGAAAACACUGAUGCGUGUUUCUUGUGGUCUUUGCCUAGAGGGUCCUGACAAAACCAUGAUCCAAUCAGACAGUGAUGCCUGUUAACAUGUUGAUGGUGGAAACCUUUGGAGUCGUGUUUUCUGAGAGUAAUUCAGGCUUUUUUACUUAUUAUCACAAUUAAAAUAUUCACAUUCCAAAUGAGAAUGCUUAUGCUCUUUUUUAAAAAUGUUAUAGACUUUACAUGGUAUUGAUUCCCUCAAAAGACUGAGUAUUUCUCUAACUGACCUCAAGAUGGCAGGCUUGAAUAAAAGGUAUUUCCAUUUCAAAAUUCUUUCAAAAGUUUCUUUGAAGUGAAAUUAUGUGUGUGUGUUUAUAAGUUUUUUCUCACUCCAUAGAGAAUUUUAAAAAAUUCUGUGUUUCGACUGCCUUAAUUUUUUUCAUUGUUUUUUCAAAGGCCAUGAAAUUUUACAUGAGAAUUUGGAAACCUCUGAAAACGAAGAUACAUGGAAAAGGAAGCACCUUUAGGCAAAUGAAUUGGGACUGGAUGAGGGAUAGGCAUCCCCACUGCCCCAUGAAAGGGUUAAAUUAUUAUUGUAAUACUUUAAUUGCAGGAAACACUUAAAUAUUAGUUCUAAGUUACUAUCAUGCAUCUGUAGUAAUUAUAUAAUUGAAGUUUGGAGAAGAGUUUAUCCACUAUACCAAGUUGCCCUUGAAAAAGUAAAGACUAACAUAGGAACUGCAACAAGUGGGUUUGUCACACCAUAGAAUCUAAAAUUCUCCCCAAAGAAGUAAAACAGUAUUUUGAUUUAAUUGCCUUCAAAAACUGUUUGAUUUCCUUCCCCCUCUUAAUUUUUCUAAAAAAGACAAUGUAGCAUGGUAGUUAAUUAAAUACGUAGGUUUCAGAGCUAGACAAUCUCAAUAUCAGAUAUAAUUCUGCCUCUCGUGGCUGUGUGACUAUGGGCCUAUUACCUAACUUCUCUGUAAAAUGAGGAUACUAUCACUCAUGGGGCUGAUAUAAGAGUCAAGUCAGAUCAUGAAUGAAAAGCACUUACAUUUCAAUAAGUGACAGGCACUAUUAGUAUUAUUUUGAGGGGAUGAGGAGAGGGCAAGAUGAGGAGCAGCACUUAACAUAUUAUGAACUGUGAGUUACAACUCCAAAGGAUAAAUAAAAAUAUACUGACUUUUUAAAAGUAUAUGAGUUUCCACAGGUGGUCAAAAGACCCAACUUUUAGCAAUGAUUUUCCUAAAGAUUUGCUGUGAAAAAUUUUUUGAAAUUGUAUUGAAGUAUAAUUGAUUUAUAAUGUGUUAGUUUCUGGUAUACAGCAAAGUGUUAAGUUUUAAAAAUAUAUACAUAUAUUUGUUUUAAUAUUAUUUUUUAUUAUGUUUUAUGAUAGGAUAUUGAAUAUGGUUUCCUGUGCUUUAUGGUAGGCUCUUGUUUAUCUAUUUUAUAUACAGUUGUUUGCUUCUGCUAAUCCCAAACCCCUAAUUUAUCCCUCCUCCCUCUUUUUUCCUCUUUGGUAACCAAAAGUUUGUUUUCAAAGUCUGUGAGUCCAUUUCUAUUUCGUAAAUAAGUUCAUUUGUGUCAUAUUUUAGAUUCCAUGUGUAAAUGAAAUCAUAUGAUAUUUGUCUGUCUCUUUCUAACUUCAUUUAGUGUGGUAAUCUCUAGUCCAUCCAUGUCGCUGCAAAUGGCAAUAUUUCAUUCUUUUUUAUGGCUGAGUAAUACUCCAUUGUUUAUUUAUACCACAUCUUCUUUAUUGCUUCAUCUGUCAUUGACAUUUAGGUUGCUUCCAAAUCUUGGCUAUUACAAAUAGUGCUGCUAUGAACAUAGGGGUGCAUGUAUCUUUUUGAGUUAUAGUUUUGUCCAGAUAUAUGUCCAGAAGUGGAAUUGCUGGAUCUUAAGGUAAUUCCAUUUUUUUUUGUUUUUUGAGGAACCUCCAUGCUGUUAUCCACAGUGGCUAUCCAAUUUUCAUUCCCAUUAACACCGUAGGAGGGUUCUCUUUCUCCACACCCUCUCUAGCAUUUGUUACUUAUAAACUUUUAAAUGAUGCCCAUUCAGACUUGUAUGAUGUGAUACUUCAUUUUAGUUUUGAUCUGCAUUUUUCUAAUAAUGGAUAUGUUGUGAAAUUUGAAGCAUAUUUUCUAAUGACUUUAUGACUCGAAUUCUUCAUACAUUCUCCUAGCAUAUCUGUGACCACAAAAGUGGAUCAAAAAUCAUUAGGCAUUACUUGGAUGUUCUGUUCUGCAUAAGAAUCCUCAGACCUUCAGAAAAUUAUGAAUUUGGGGUAGGAUAGGGUUAUAGGAAACUCCUUGGGUCACCCAAUGCUCACCUCCAGUCUUGACUGGUUCUGUUUUGUCUUCCCUUGAUAUGUAGGCUCACUGUUUUGGUUCUGUUUUGUCUUCCCUUGAUAUGUAGGCUCAAAUAUUCAGUGAAGGAAGACAGUCAGAAUUCAUUAAACAUUGAACAAACCAAACUAUUUUCAUCAAAAUUAAAGUCAGGGAGUUUCCACUGUGGUGCAGAGGAAACAAAUCUGACUAGUAACCAUGAGGUUGCAGGUUUGAUCAUGGCCUCACUCAGUGGGUUAAGGAUCUUUCCUUGCUGUGAACUGUGGUGUAGGUCACAGAUGUGGCUUAGCUCAGAUAGGACUCCUAGUCUAGGAACCUCUAUAUGCUAUGGGUGUGGCCCUAAAAAGCGGGAGUCGGGGGCAGUGUCAGGAAAGCACCACCAGAGUGCUGUUGUUUACAAAUAAAAUACUUGUGUCAAUAAUGGCAAUGGACACCGGGGGGCAGUAACACACAGCACAUGCAACCUUAUCCUUCAAAUUUAAAUUAAUUAAAAACAAUUAAUUAAAAAUUUUUAAACAAGUUAAAUUAGUUAAAAAGUUAAAUUACUUAAAUAAUGGCUCUACCUCUCCACUUUGAAAAUGGAUUUCCCCAAUAGCUUCUGUUGUUCAAGAGAUGUUGUGCAGAGAUAUGUGGUCCAAAAUGUUGUUUUUUUGUUCCUUAAGUCAGUCAGAAGAUCUGAUUCAGUUUGUAAAUUCAGUUGUUAUCUCGACAAUUGACGGGACUCCACAACUUAAAUUGCUUGCCUUUUUCCUUAGACUCAGCAUUAGGACAGACUAUUUUUUAAAUUGACUUUUGCCAUUUUGUCUCAUUUUUAUGGUGAAUCACCAAUAUCUCUCUUUAAUUGCCUAUCUCAGGGUUCCUAAGUCAGACCAUCCUGGUUGAAGAGGCUGGAGGGAUGUGUUUCUGCUGCCCCCUGACGGUGAUGGUGGGCGGGGCAGCUGAGUGCUUCCAGGGAGGAGGGAUGGCUUCUGCUUCAUAACGGUUUCCAGGCUGGGGUCACCUUGAGACAGGUGCACGAAGGCACCAUGGAGAGAAAAAUAAAGAGACCUGGAGCCGCCUGUGGUUUGGGAACAGAUGGAGAACUGACCAAGCCCAGAUCUCGCCUUUCUCUGGGUCUGAACCUGGUGCAAGGUCCACCUCAGCCCCUGUGCAGAGCUGGCUCUGGCAGGACAGACGAUGGCAUCUCCCCGCUGGCUUUCCUGUCACUGUGAACCCUGUUUUUGUUUUUUUUACUGUUUUCAUAUUUCCUCAAGGGCCCCAGCAACUAUCAGCACUCAACCGACAGCUCCCGACUUAGCCCUUUUUGACUCUAGGGACCUGGGGAGGAAAGAUCACUAAAAAUCAACCAGAAAUAGGGGAAUAUCAAGUCCCCAAACCUCUGGGAAGCUACUAGCAUGUUUUUAUAGAUCAAAGGUGAUAAAGAAACCCUCAGGUAUCUGAGAUAUAUUGAAAAAUAAGGAUAAAUUGCAGGAUAUUUUCUAUCCUGGAAAAUAGAUAUUUUUUAUGGGCCUAUAUACAGUGCAUAGUAGGGAUCAGGUAUCCUUCAAAACUCAGUUAAUCUUUAUAAUGAUCUCUUGUAGUAAAGUACCAUAAUUAUACCCAUUCUACACACAGGGAAUAUGGGGCACAGAAAUAUUACAUGACUCAGCCAAAGAACGUAUGAUGUACUAAGUAUUAAAGCUUAGACCCGAGGCUAUACUCUUAUUAUUUAUUUAUUUAUUUAUGUCUUUUUAGGGCCACACCCAUGCCGUAUGGAUGUUCCCAGGCUAGGGUUUGAAUUGUAGCUGUAACCACAGGCCAUAACCACAGCCACAGCCAUACCAGAUAUGAGCCUGGUGUGUGAACUAUACCACAGCUUAUGACAAUGCUGGAUCCUUAACCCACUGAGCAAGGCCAGGGAUCGAACCUGCAUCCUCAUGGAAGCCAGUCAGAUUCAUUUCCCCUGAGCCAGGGUGGGAACUCCCCCAGAGGCUAUAUACUUAACUGCUAUGCUACAAUACUCUCAAAAUGAGAAGUUCAGCUUCCUUCUGGAAUGAAAGAAAACUUUGGAUUUCAGUAGUUGGAUUUGGAGGUAAGUAAUUUGUAUGCAUACAAUUUGUCAGUAUAAAAAAUAUGAUUUUUUACAGUGAAAUAUUUAACUCAUUUGAAACUUAUAAUGAGAUUUUUGCCUUUAGUUGUUUUAUUUCCACUCCCUAUUAAACUUUUUAAAAACUUUUAUUACCUCUAAUAGAAAUCAAGCAUCUCGAGGAAGAAUCACAUCUUUUGUUACUAUCUUUUUAGCGUUUGAUAUAUUUAGCAUGAGAUCUAGUCUAAGAGAGGCUUUUCAAGAAAUGCUUAGUAGCUGCUUCAGUAUUUUUUAAUAUUAUCUUGCUUAAUUAAUAUUCAUUAGGAGUUCCUGUCAUAGCUCAGCAGAAACGAAUCCAGCUAGGAACCAUGAGGUUGAGGCUUUGAUCCCUGGCCUCGCUCAGUGGGUUAAGGAUCCUGUGUUGCCAUGAGCUGUGGUGUAGGUUGCAGACACUGUGUGGAUCUGGUGUUGCUAUAGCUCUGGCUAGGCCAGCAGCUAUAGCUCCAAUUGGACCCCUAGCCUGGGAACCUACAUAUGCUGCAGGU
Molecule: long non-coding RNA, 5484 nt
Filed under: Sus scrofa (pig)
Lineage: Eukaryota; Metazoa; Chordata; Mammalia; Artiodactyla; Suidae
Description: lncRNA (ENSSSCG00000057687.1)
Source: RNAcentral